GCAGACAUCUUGCUCUGCCGUGGGGGUAGGACUCCCCCGAUUUCCAGACUUUUGACCAGUGAUCCUGGUUUCGAGAUGGAAGUGAGACAGCCGAGGAGGCUUCGGGUUUGAUGAUGGGAGAGGGAGGCAGGGAAGCCGCUCUUCGGAAGCGAGGAGAUGCCCGCUGAGGCUUCUGAGAAGCCCCGCGGGCUGAGGUCCAGGAGGAGGGAGACAGGAAGGGGGUGGCUGCUGGGGCCACAGGCAUCUGGAACCCACUUAUGCUGUGUGCUGCACCCGGCCAUGUCCUGUCACUGUAGCACUUUUUUUGUUUUGUUUUGUUUUAAAAUAAAAGCACCUUCUGUGUCCUUUUCUUGAA
Long non-coding RNA from Mustela erminea (ermine), 355 nucleotides. RefSeq lists it as uncharacterized. Lineage: Eukaryota; Metazoa; Chordata; Mammalia; Carnivora; Mustelidae. The transcript has 3 exons. The record is from RefSeq and is a predicted model, not a curated record.